GGGGGCGUCUGGUUUCGACGGGUAAGCUAGACUAUUGACUGCAUGUCGAGGAUUUCAAGUUACCUCGUAAAUCAUCUUGGAACAAACCUUAAAUGCCGAUUAUGGCUACGCUGCUGCCGCUUAAAUAGUUCGGUAGCCAUUCCCUUUAGAAUUUGUCUGUGAUUUUAUAUGGGAAUGUUAUCUUUAGCAGACUGGUUCAAUUUUGUGUCUGUCAGAAUUGAAUAAGAACUUUCAGACUGGUUAAUUUUGCGGAGGGUUGUAACCAAUAAAUUAAUGAGAUCCAAGAUCAGCCUAUGCAUGUAGAUGUUAAUAGAGUACCUUUCUCGGACGGGAGUUCGAAUCUCCCCGCCUCCACAA
This 357-nucleotide transfer-messenger RNA is filed under the name bacterium. RNAcentral's name for it is "GCA-2689995 sp014381925 Standard tmRNA". It matches the Rfam family "transfer-messenger RNA". Rfam says of the family: Bacterial tmRNA, also known as 10Sa RNA or SsrA, is named for its dual tRNA and mRNA-like properties. Its role is to liberate the mRNA from a stalled ribosome. RNAcentral also lists the same sequence under 1 other name. The record is from RNAcentral.